GCUCCCCCAAAGGCUGAGGUUCGGGGUGCCUCGUCCUCCGCUGCCUACGGCGCGACGCACACGGAGCACACCAGCCCGGCCGCCCCUGCAGUCCUGCCGGCCGCGGCGUGCCGGGCGGCGGGCCCCGGGGGGCGGGGGGACCCCAUCCCGCGCCCCCGACCCCCGCGCCGCGCAGCCCCGCGCCUGAGCGCCCCCCCCCCCCCCGGCCCCGCGCGUCCGCCGCGCCGGCUGGCAGGUGACCGGGUCCCGCGAACCCGCGCGCGCGGACUCCCGCCGCGGGCCCCCCGCGUCCCCGGGCGCGGCCCCUUACCUCGGAGCUGGCCGGGGCGACCCCGCGGGGCCGGGCGCGGACUGGGCCGGGGAGACGCGCCUCCCGCCGCCGCCGCCGCCGCCGCCGCCGCUGGGAGCCGAGGCGGCGAGCGGGCGCGGCGAGCUCCUCCCGGGCGGCGGCGGGAGGCGCUGCUCUCGCUGCCGCCGCCGCCGCCGCCGCCGCCACCGCGGCCGCGGGUCUCGGAGCUGCGCGGCCGCUGCUGCCCGGCCGCCGGCGCGCGGGUCCCUCGGCUCCUGCGGGAGGCCGGCUGCUCGCGCGGCAAACUCUUCCGCACGCAGAGCCGGUGGGGAGAGCCGCCGCCGCCUCUUCCUCCUCCCCCGCCCUCCUCCCGCCUCCCGCCUCCCGCCGCCGCCUCCUCCUCCCUCGCCUCCUCCUCCUUCCCUCCGCUCCUGCUGCCGGGUCUCGCCCGGGCGCACGCGGGGCCUCGGCCCGCCCCGGCCUGGGACUCGCACGCUGCGGCCCCCGGACCCCCGGCUCCCCUGGGCGGCGCGGCGGCCGGCGCCUCUGCCGGGCCGCGGGGGGCGCGGGGUCGGGGCCCGGCCGGGGGCGCGGGGUCGGGCUGGCGCGGGCGGCGGGCGGCGGGCGGCGGGCGCGGGCGGCGGGUGUGCGUGCUUGGAGGUGAACUGGCCGGGAGCGGCCGCGGGCGGGCGCGGGGCCGCCGGCCGAAGUCCCGUUCAAGUUGUCGCCGGGGGCGGCCGGGACAGACCCUCGCGGGGCCCGCUGCCACCCCGCGGCCCCGUGCGGGGAGGGGGGAGCACACGACGGCGGUCCCCUCCACGCCGUCCCGGCGGGGCAGGUCUGCGCGCGGACUCCGAGCCCCGGCACAGGCGCGUCUCCGCGCUGCGACCCCCGAGAUGCCCGAGGAGCGGGGGCGGCCGGGCCCCUGGGGUUGGGGAGAAGCGGGAGAGCGCUGCUGGGGAGGAAUAAUCCGCGCUGCUUCCGAGGAGAACGUAGCCGGCCGGGAAAAUGGGUCAAGGAUGGAGAGGCUGCGGCUGAGCGCCCCCCGCCCCCCGGGCAGCAGCGCGCGGGUGGGGGCUGCGGCCGGGAGCGCGCCCUCGGAGCUCCGCGCGGCCUCUCCCUCCCCUCCCCCGCUGCCCUCCUCUCCUUUUGCACCAGUGCAGGAAAUGUUCCACUGA
This 1467-nucleotide long non-coding RNA is filed under the name Canis lupus familiaris (dog). RNAcentral's name for it is "lncRNA (ENSCAFG00845016009.1)". Lineage: Eukaryota; Metazoa; Chordata; Mammalia; Carnivora; Canidae. The record is from RNAcentral.